GUCAUAUGCUUGUCUUAAAGAUUAAGCCAUGCAUGUCUAAGUAUAAGCUUUUAUUAUACGGCGAAACUGCGAAUGGCUCAUUAAAACAGUUAUAGUUUAUUUGAUAGUCGAUAUAUACUACAUGGAUAACCGUGGUAAUUCUAUGGCUAAUACAUGCGCAAAUACUGUACUGUCACAUACUGUGAUGGUACAGUAGUGUUAUUAGAUACAGAACCAACAAUACACCAUUAUUACUACUUUUGUAGUGGUGGUGUAAGAAGAAAGGGUGAUUCAUAGUAACCGAACGGAUCGCAUAUUGUAAUCAUUUCGGUGAUUGGCGAUAGAUCAUUCAAGUUUCUGACCUAUCAGCUUUCGACGGUAGUGUAUUGGACUACCGUGGCAGUGACGGGUAACGGGGAAUUAGGGUUCGAUUCCGGAGAGGGAGCCUGAGAAACGGCUACCACAUCUAAGGAAGGCAGCAGGCGCGCAAAUUACCCAAUCCUGACUCAGGGAGGUAGUGACAAGAAAUAACAACACUGGAAAUUGUAUUUCUAGUGAUUGGAAUGAUGGGAAUCCAAACCCCUUUCAGAGUAACAAUUGGAGGGCAAGUCUGGUGCCAGCAGCCGCGGUAAUUCCAGCUCCAAUAGCGAUAUUAAAGUUGUUGCAGUUAAAAAGCUC
This 657-nucleotide ribosomal RNA is filed under the name Sarcocystis medusiformis. Its description in RNAcentral is "SSU rRNA". It matches the Rfam family "Eukaryotic small subunit ribosomal RNA", at positions 23 to 629 of the family's 1831-position model. The record is from RNAcentral. Lineage: Eukaryota; Apicomplexa; Conoidasida; Eucoccidiorida; Sarcocystidae.